RNAcentral lists this ribosomal RNA (488 nucleotides) under uncultured Lachnospiraceae bacterium. Its description in RNAcentral is "bacterial SSU rRNA". It matches the Rfam family "Bacterial small subunit ribosomal RNA", at positions 8 to 507 of the family's 1533-position model. The record is from RNAcentral. Lineage: Bacteria; Bacillati; Bacillota; Clostridia; Lachnospirales; Lachnospiraceae.
AGAGUUUGAUCCUGGCUCAGGAUGAACGCUGGCGGCGUGCCUAACACAUGCAAGUCGAACGGAUCCAUAUUGAAACCUAGUGAUGUAUGGAUUAGUGGCGGACGGGUGAGUAACGCGUGGAUAACCUGCCGUAUACAGGGGGAUAACACUUAGAAAUAGGUGCUAAUACCGCAUAAGCGCACGGUUCCGCAUGGAACAGUGUGAAAAACUUCGGUGGUAUACGAUGGAUCCGCGUCUGAUUAGCCAGUUGGCGGGGUAACGGCCCACCAAAGCGACGAUCAGUAGCCGGCCUGAGAGGGUGAACGGCCACAUUGGGACUGAGACACGGCCCAAACUCCUACGGGAGGCAGCAGUGGGGAAUAUUGCACAAUGGGGGAAACCCUGAUGCAGCGACGCCGCGUGAGUGAAGAAGUAUCUCGGUACGUAAAGCUCUAUCAGCAGGGAAGAAAAUGACGGUACCUGAUUAAGAAGCCCCGGCUAACUACGUG